Molecule: ribosomal RNA, 745 nt
Filed under: uncultured bacterium
Lineage: Bacteria
Description: bacterial SSU rRNA
Rfam family: Bacterial small subunit ribosomal RNA
Source: RNAcentral
ACGCUGGCGGCAGGCCUAACACAUGCAAGUCGAGCGGUAGAGAGAAGCUUGCUUCUCUUGAGAGCGGCGGACGGGUGAGUAAUGCCUAGGAAUCUGCCUGGUAGUGGGGGAUAACGUUCGGAAACGGACGCUAACACCGCAUACGUCCUACGGGAGAAAGCAGGGGACCUUCGGGCCUUGCGCUAUCAGAUGAGCCUAGGUCGGAUUAGCUAGUUGGUGGGGUAAUGGCUCACCAAGGCGACGAUCCGUAACUGGUCUGAGAGGAUGAUCAGUCACACUGGAACUGAGACACGGUCCAGACUCCUACGGGAGGCAGCAGUGGGGAGUAUUGGACAAUGGGCGAAAGCCUGAUCCAGCCAUGCCGCGUGUGUGAAGAAGGUCUUCGGAUUGUAAAGCACUUUAAGUUGGGAGGAAGGGUUGUAGAUUAAUACUCUGCAAUUUUGACGUUACCGACAGAAUAAGCACCGGCUAACUCUGUGCCAGCAGCCGCGGUAAUACAGAGGGUGCAAGCGUUAAUCGGAAUUACUGGGCGUAAAGCGCGCGUAGGUGGUUAGUUAAGUUGGAUGUGAAAUCCCCGGGCUCAACCUGGGAACUGCAUUCAAAACUGACUGACUAGAGUAUGGUAGAGGGUGGUGGAAUUUCCUGUGUAGCGGUGAAAUGCGUAGAUAUAGGAAGGAACACCAGUGGCGAAGGCGACCACCUGGACUGAUACUGACACUGAGGUGCGAAAGCGUGGGGAGCAAAC